AGCAGCCGCGGUAAUUCCAGCUCCAAUAGCGUAUAUUAAAGUUGUUGCAGUUAAAAAGCUCGUAGUUGAAUUUCGGGGUUAGUAAGUUGGUCAUGCCAUUGGUAUGCACUGGCUUUACUGAUUCCUCCUUCUUGACGAACCGUGAUGUCAUUAAUUUGGUGUUGCGGGAAAUCAGGACUGUUACUUUGAAAAAAUUAGAGUGUUUAAAGCAGGCUAACGCUUGAAUACAUUAGCAUGGAAUAAUGAAAUAGGACGUUUGAUCCUAUUUUGUUGGUUUCUAGGAUUGACGUAAUGAUUAAUAGGGAUAGUUGGGGGCAUUAGUAUUCAAUUGUCAGAGGUGAAAUUCUUGGAUUUAUUGAAGACUGACUACUGCGAAAGCAUUUGCCAAGGAUGUUUUCAUUAAUCAAGAACGAAAGUUAGGGGAUCGAAGACGAUCAGAUACCGUCGUAGUCUUAACCAUAAACUAUGCCGACUAGGGAUCGGAUGAUGUUAAUUUUUUAAUGACUCA
Molecule: ribosomal RNA, 508 nt
Filed under: uncultured Glomus
Lineage: Eukaryota; Fungi; Glomeromycota; Glomeromycetes; Glomerales; Glomeraceae
Description: SSU rRNA
Rfam family: Eukaryotic small subunit ribosomal RNA
Source: RNAcentral